GGUGUCAUGGCUCAGUGGUAGAGUGCUUGCCUAGCAUGCUUGAGGCCCUGAGUUCGAUCCUCAGCACCA
RNAcentral lists this transfer RNA (69 nucleotides) under Marmota marmota marmota (Alpine marmot). It matches the Rfam family "tRNA". Rfam says of the family: Transfer RNA (tRNA) molecules are approximately 80 nucleotides in length. Their secondary structure includes four short double-helical elements and three loops (D, anti-codon, and T loops). Lineage: Eukaryota; Metazoa; Chordata; Mammalia; Rodentia; Sciuridae. RNAcentral also lists the same sequence under 1 other name. The record is from Rfam by way of RNAcentral.